GAUGAACGCUGGCGGCGUGCCUAAUACAUGCAAGUCGAGCGAACAGACGAGGAGCUUGCUCCUCUGACGUUAGCGGCGGACGGGUGAGUAACACGUGGAUAACCUACCUAUAAUACUGGGAUAACUUCGGGAAACCGGAGCUAAUACCGGAUAAUAUAUUGAACCGCAUGGUUCAAUAGUGAAAGACGGUUUUGCUGUCACUUAUAGAUGGAUCCGCGCCGCAUUAGCUAGUUGGUAAGGUAACGGCUUACCAAGGCAACGAUGCGUAGCCGACCUGAGAGGGUGAUCGGCCACACUGGAGCUGAGACACGGUCCAGACUCCUACGGGAGGCAGCAGUAGGGAAUCUUCCGCAAUGGGCGAAAGCCUGACGGAGCAACGGCGCGUGAGUGAUGAAGGUCUUCGGAUCGUAAAACUCUGUUAUUAGGGAAGAACAACUGUGUAAGUAACUAUGCACGUCUUGACGGUACCUAAUCAGAAAGCCACGGCUAACUACGUG
This 497-nucleotide ribosomal RNA is filed under the name uncultured bacterium. RNAcentral's name for it is "partial 16S ribosomal RNA". It matches the Rfam family "Bacterial small subunit ribosomal RNA", at positions 28 to 507 of the family's 1533-position model. The record is from RNAcentral.